CAAACUGUUUCCAAACACAUAGAACACGAAUAGGAUUCGUAGAGUUUUGAUUCAUUUUGUAUACAAUUAUUUCUUAUAAUUAGUUUUCCUCUUCUAGUUUACAUCAAAAAUGGAAAAAUUGCCAAUCGUGAUUAUUUAUUUCGCAUACUCAUUUCUUUUUUUAUCUCGAUGUAAGCAGCCAUACAGGAGGCAUAAGACACACUGCCAAUGCCCAGGGCCAUAGAUGUAUUAAAUGUCCCCAUUUGGAAUGCCAUAAGAACGGCUCCUUUUUCGCUUCCUUUGACAAUAGGGAUCAAGUAAAGGUAGUACACCAAGAAGACGAUGAACCUGAUGAUCCAGUGAGUGAAUGCUUAUCUCCGCGUGUAAAAGUAAAUGGUACUCUGAACGAUGUUGUAUGCUCUGCCGAAAGAAACCUAUGUUUCGUAGUUUGUGCCAAAUCCAGAAAGGAAGAUGACAAAGCAUUGUGCGCUAAGUGCGCCGAACGCUGUGAAUGCAAAGUACCUAAUAAUGGCAGAAAGGGGUAUACAGCAAACGGCCUUCUAUAUAUACUUAUACCAGUAUGUUUGGUAGCAUUUUACAUUUUGGUGUAGGCGAUGCAAAUGUACACAUGUUUACGAAGGUAGAUCGGGCAGGGUACAUGGUAUAGCCUGGUCGGGUAUACCGAAUAGAGCCCUAGUUUUUACACUCUGCUCUCAAAGGAAAGCAAGUAAAAAACUUUAAUCGGGAUGGCCGACUAGGAGAUAUCAUGAACUUUGUCCGAUCUGCGUUUUUAAACUGUUUAUUUGGCUGUUUGUAGGUCUAAAAAAAAAAAAAAAAAAAAAAAAAAUAGUACGAAACUAAAUUGAAUCCGUUUCACAAUAAAACGAAUUUAGUAAACAAAAAGUAAUA
Molecule: RNA transcript, 888 nt
Organism: Drosophila mojavensis
Lineage: Eukaryota; Metazoa; Arthropoda; Insecta; Diptera; Drosophilidae
Exons: 3
Source: RefSeq, a predicted model, not a curated record